RNAcentral lists this long non-coding RNA (228 nucleotides) under Homo sapiens (human). RNAcentral's name for it is "HSALNT0085332". Lineage: Eukaryota; Metazoa; Chordata; Mammalia; Primates; Hominidae. The record is from RNAcentral.
GCUGAUUACUAACUCUGCAGGACCAUUCAACUGAGCUACUAGAUUUGAUAAAGUCAACUUCUUUUCUCUCCAGUUUUGUUUCGUGUUGUAGAUGCUUUCCGCUUCAGGUGAGAGUUCAGUGGAUGAGACUGGAGUCACAUUGGAAGGGCAAGACUGCAGAGAAUGCAGGGGAAGGAUCAGCUGAUGGACAGUCUUCUACUGACACUGAUGGACAGGUGGUAAGGCCAU